Long non-coding RNA from Gasterosteus aculeatus aculeatus (three-spined stickleback), 1476 nucleotides. The record is from Ensembl. NCBI's taxonomy places the organism in Eukaryota, Metazoa, Chordata, Actinopteri, Perciformes, Gasterosteidae.
CUCAGUGCCCCAAAGACUCCCCAAUAACAAUGACAGUGUAGGUUAAAAAUUGCAUCAAGCUUGUUUUCAAUGUCAUCUCUUUUCAAAAAAAAAAAAAAAAAAACACGACUCAAUUCAGGAGUCCGGGAUCAAUGUCCGCUCUCUGAGAGAGCGGUGGUUCUGUGAAAACAGACGAGUGCACUCAAGGAAUCGUAACCAGGUGUAGGCGGAAAUACCUGGAGAAUUCCUUGCUCCUGGAAUGUUUUUAUUAGCCUUUUUACAAAUGUCGCCAUUUCGAGGUGUGUACACUAUAAAGUGCACUGCAGGCCGGAUCACUCCAUCAAGCGGCGCGGGGCUUCAAUGGGGAACCUGUGUUGAAGCUGGGGUGAUGCUAUUUGAACAGCUGGCACAGUUUAGCUCGGCAUGUUCGAAUGUGCACGGGUUCCAAACUGUCGUACCACACUGAGGGGGGAAAAAAAACACAGGCCUCCGCGAGCUUUCAUCAGGAUGGAAUACUUUAUACAGUGUCUUUAUACUGGAGGUGUUGAUCGAACCGUGGAGUUAACCCUCUGACAUCGAUGUGUCAGACGUCACUGCAAACAAAACAGAAAAUGACUUGACAAUGCCUGUCCACGUUGUGCAGUUAAAACAUGAGGUUUAAAACAGGAGCUUCGUUCCUGGAAAACAAGGGAAGCGAGAAAUUGAAAACACUUUUGCGAAAAACAGUCUCACAUUUGCACAGGUGUGCUAUCAGGUCAGUGCAAGUUUUAGUGGCGUGUGUUUGGCAAAGUAGUGAGAGUAUGGCUCGAUAAAUUAUACAACCGUCAUUGUGCGACACAAGUUGUUUGAGAGUUUGUAAAUGGAUGUUUUUGUUUCAUUUUGCAGCUAUCUGUCUAUGUUUAUGUUUAGUGCACCGUGAAGGAAGGCCAAAAAACCAACUAUGCUUUCUUCAAGGCAGCAUGACAAGAAUGUAUAUUAACUUUUUACUUCCCAACAUGAGUCUGGUCAGCACUUUGAAUUGUCACGUGUCCAAAGGCCUCUCUGAAACUUUCCAGUCUUUUCAGAGUGGCCCACUACAAGCCCCUGAGAGCCUGCCCGUUCUCAUUUAUCAAAUAAAAAGCACCUUUCUUAGCACUGCGGAGAGGAAAAAAACAACAUUUCCACAGCCAGUGAAGCCGUGCGUGUGUGUAUGUGUGAGUGUGUGUGUUAUGACGAUUGUGAGAUUCAAUACAAACAGGAAUGAAUGUUUUUCACGCUCGCGUCAUAUAGAAUAUUUAAAUGUGACAUUUGAGAUUGUAUAUGCAUAACUGGCCUAUUAGUUACUUUGGGAAAUACCUUAUUUUAACAUUCAGCCUGUACAUCAGUCAUCAUGCAAAUGAUUGUCAGACAAUCCCGCAGUCCUCGCGUCAGAAACCAGCGGAUCUCUCGGCAGAAACGGCGACAAGCGCAACAGGGUUGUGAUGUAAAUGUGACUCCAAUCGACACCGCAGCCCCCGU